RNAcentral lists this ribosomal RNA (685 nucleotides) under uncultured Thermoprotei archaeon. RNAcentral describes it as "bacterial SSU rRNA". It matches the Rfam family "Archaeal small subunit ribosomal RNA", at positions 321 to 999 of the family's 1478-position model. The record is from RNAcentral. Lineage: Archaea; Thermoproteati; Thermoproteota; Thermoprotei.
CCCUAUGGGGUGCAGCAGGCGCGAAACCUCUGCAAUGCGCGAAAGCGCGACAGGGCCACCCCGAGUGCUAGCCGCUGAGGUUAGCUUUUCCUUAGUGUAGUAAGCUAAGGGAAUAAGCGGGGGGCAAGCCUGGUGUCAGCCGCCGCGGUAAUACCAGCUCCGCGAGUGGUCGGGACGAUUAUUGGGCCUAAAGCGUCCGUAGCCGGCCUAUCAAGUCUCUGGUUAAACCUCAAGGCUCAACCUUGAGAUCGCUGGAGAUACUGUUAGGCUAGGGGGCGGGAGAGGUUGAGGGUACUUCGCGGGUAGGGGCGAAAUCCUAUAAUCCGCGAAGGACCACCAGUGGCGAAGGCGCUCAACUGGAACGCGCCCGACGGUGAGGGACGAAAGCCAGGGGAGCAAAGGGGAUUAGAUACCCCCGUAGUCCUGGCUGUAAACGAUGCCGGCUAACCGGGCUAGGUGUUGGGUUGGCUUCGUCCAACCCGGUGCCGCAGUGAAGACGAUAAGCCCGCCGCCUGGGAAGUACGGCUGCAAAGGCUGAAACUUAAAGGAAUUGGCGGGGGAGCACCACAAGGGGUGAAGCCUGCGGUUUAAUUGGAGUCAACGCCGGGAAUCUUACCGGGAGCGACAGCAAGAUGAAGGCCAAGCUGACGACUUUGCUAGAUGGGCUGAGAGGAAGUGCAUGGCC